UCCCCUCUUCUCUACCUCACUCGGAAUCCAUUCCGAUCAAUUCUCUUAAUCUCUUUGUUCACGUUCUUCGAUCUCUACAAUCCGUCGUAGUAUCAACUUCUACAGAUAACAAUAUUAAUCAAUUUUAGAUUAAUAAUAAGAUAAUUUUGUCGUUUUUUAUGAAUUCUAAAUUUACAAUAUCUACUAAUUAGUUUUUUUAUUUCGAAUAAAAAAUGGUAUUUUACAUAAAUAAGUUAAUAAACAAAAUUAAAUGGUUUGACAUAAAAAAAUAUACAUACAUCGUAAUUCAUAUACAGUCAUACAGUAAUACAGAGUUAGCUAUGGAUAUCCCGAAUCCAAAAACUUUUUUAUUCGACCAAAUAUUCAGACAUAUUUACUUUGAAAACUUUGGGUAUAUAAUUAUAGAGAACAGUUUUUGUGCAAACACAAAAUUGAAAAAGAUGAUGCACAAUGUUUGAAGACAUGAAUUUAACCAUCUAAUUAAUAAUUGUAGCAGGAUGAUUAUGUAAUUAGAUAAUGGGUUGGCCAUUACAAAAUAAGCUAGAUGCGUUGAAUGAAAUGUUAAGUUCGAUAAUAAAAGAUAAACGUGGAUGUAAUAGAGAUUACAUUAGGGGCGAUACCAUCACGUCGUGAGACGUGGCCGCGUCGCCGUACUGUUUGGGUCGAUGUUGGUGACGCCAACUGUGUUGCUUUGUCCAUGUUUGGUGAAGUCCUCCGGUGGUCUGCAUUGCCCAUUGAUGAUCUCCAGUAGCUUGUGUCGCUGGAGUGGCUUGGGCGUUCCGGCUUCGUUUGAGCAUGGUGGUGAUCGGUGGAGUGAACCAUUGUAAUGUGAAGUGUUGGUUCCUUGGUUGAAGUUUGAAGUAUAUGUAUCAUCCAUCUUGAUAGCCG
Molecule: long non-coding RNA, 888 nt
Filed under: Zostera marina
Lineage: Eukaryota; Viridiplantae; Streptophyta; Magnoliopsida; Alismatales; Zosteraceae
Description: long non-coding RNA (ZMAR_LNC001080)
Source: RNAcentral